RNAcentral lists this ribosomal RNA (230 nucleotides) under uncultured microorganism. Its description in RNAcentral is "partial 16S ribosomal RNA". It matches the Rfam family "Bacterial small subunit ribosomal RNA", at positions 524 to 753 of the family's 1533-position model. The record is from RNAcentral.
UACGUAGGUGGCGAGCGUUGUCCGGAUUUACUGGGCGUAAAGGGUGCGUAGGCGGAUGUUUAAGUGGGAUGUGAAAUCCCCGGGCUUAACCUGGGGGCUGCAUUCCAAACUGGAUAUCUAGAGUGCAGGAGAGGAAAGCGGAAUUCCUAGUGUAGCGGUGAAAUGCGUAGAGAUUAGGAAGAACACCAGUGGCGAAGGCGGCUUUCUGGACUGUAACUGACGCUGAGGCA